CACACGCCACCGUGAGCGGACCCCGGGGGACCGAGGCGGGGCGGGGCCGGGGCCGGGGGCGGGGGCGGGGCCCCGGGGUGGUCCGGGCGCGUCACUCCCGGCUCCCGGCUCCCGGCUCCCCGCUCCCCGCUCCCCGCGCGCGCCGGGAAUCGCACCCGAGCUUGCAGCCCUGCAAUUCCGCGGAGGGCGCCCCGCACCUGGCCCCAGAGCUUCAGGCCCCGGGGACCCAAGGGGCGUGGAGGGUGCGGGGCGCGCGGCGGGAAGGCAGCGGGGGCCCCGCGGUGCAGGGCGCCCCCCUCCGCCCGGAGGCCCUCCCGCCCCUGACCGAGUCGCGGCGCCCCGGGGACCGGCCGCGGGCGGGGCGCGAGGCGGGCGGCCGCAGCCCCCGACCCUACCUCAUGGCCGCGGAGCCUCUGCGGGCGGCGGCGGCGGCGGCGGCCGGGCCUGGGGCGGCGCGGGCUGCGCGGGCUGCAGCGGCCGUCGCCUCAUUCCAUGUCCCAUCCUCGAAUGUUAUCCUGUGACAUGGACCCGAGUCACCCGGGCGGCCGCCGACGUUCCGAACGCGUCCAUUGGCCACCGCAACAAAGAGGGGCGGGCCCCGCGCUCGGGACUCCGCGGCCGCGAGCUCCGCGCGCUCUGAUUGGCUCCGCGGGUUCCCGGGCCGGAGGGGCGGGGCGCGGGGGGAGCCCGGCGGCGGCGCGGAGUCCCGGGGUGGCGUGUCCUGGCGGCCCCCGCGGGGCGGAGCGCUGGUCCCGGGGCCUGAGGCCGGGAGCGGGGCGCUGCGAGGGUCUGCAGGUGUGCAGCGCAGGGCGGAAACGAAGCCGCCCCCAGAUGAUCUUGGAGAUGGUAAUUUGCCACAACCUUGAAGGAAACUUCAUGACUGAAGAGAUUUGUAUCUUUCUUGGAAAAAGGGGCAGGCAUCGGAUACAUUGGUCAAGAGGAUGCUAGCUGUUGUAACAGGGAGAUCCUGAAAUCACAGCCGCUUAAUUCAGUAAGACUUCACGCUUCUGUCACGUAGUCUAACAGCAUGGGGACGGAGGUGGAGUGCUGUGCUCUACGCAAUGACGUAGGAUGCCAAAGGCUCUGUCACCCUCGAGGAAGGCCAGGACUUUGACAUCCAACUGGCACACAUGCUGGGAGAGUGGAGGAUCACAGGGGAGUCUUUCAUGGGCCAGGUCAGGAAUGGCAUCACUUAGCACCCAUUCCACUGGCCAGAACUUAGCACCCAUGACACGAGGGGGCCUCUAGUGCCUGGCCUCCAGGGGUCUUCUUAGCUGGCAAGGUCUGUCUCCUGGUCUCAGGCCCCCAGAACCUAUGGUGGUUAUCCCGUUUGGGAUGGGCCCUGGGACUACUACGCAUGUGUAGGGCUCCCCCCUCUUGUCUCCUUCCUCUCUGACCUUCUCCAGUUACUUUCCUCCAAUUCCUGUUCUCUCUCCAGUGGCUCCUAGACUCUGUUGAAUUCCUGCGGUUGGAGAAAGGUUAAUUGUUUGGCCAUUGAGGGCUUUGGUGGAGAGGUGCUCUAGGGAUUCAGUGACAAAGGAUGUUGGGGGCGGGGGGUGUCAGCAGAGGAGCCUUCCAGCGAGAGCUGUGGCCACCUCCACCUGCUUCUGAAAUCAGAGAGUUUUAUCCCAGGCCACUGGGUUCCCAGGGACCUGAGAGAGCUCUGAGUCCCGGACUGUCCCCUGAAACAGCAGCAACCAUAUCACCUAGGAACCUGUUAGAAAUGCUCCUCAGCCCCUACCUUAGACCUGCUAAACCAGAAAACAGCUCAGAAAGAUUGGUAACCUACCCAAAGUCACACAGCUAGUAAGAAGCAGGACCAAAAUGUUUGAACAAGCCUUCGGGUGAUUCUGGUGCACACAAGUCUGAGAAUCCCGGCUGCGGGAUGCAGCAGCAGGACGCUGCAGGUAGGAGAGUGUCACACUGUCACCCAGUGGCUGCAGAACAAACAGCAGCCCAGCCUCCAUCUCUGGACCAACUCUGGCUGAGGACACAGCAGUGCUAAUAUGUCGAUCAAGAAGCAAGUUCUGGAAAGCACAGGGGAAUCCACAGGUGUAGCAAGGGCCUCACCGAAGUCUAGCCUCACGGAUGGUUGUUAAGACUUAGCCUAGAGUCCAGGCCAGAGCCAAACCCAAAUUCUGUUGCUAGAAGGCCAAACCCACCUGCAUUUAUAUUUCAUGGGGACCAGGCAUAGCUGGCUGGAGAGGCCUCUAUGGCCAAACUGAUGACCCCAUCAGGGGCAGGCUCCAUCAUCCUCACAGGGAACCAGAAGCAGCAGGGAUCCGUCAUCUCGGAGAGGGCACAGGACUCCACCCGGGACCCUGCCAACUAGGCCCCUGAGGCCCCAGGGCUCCCCUGCUCUGGCACUCCACU
Molecule: long non-coding RNA, 2373 nt
Filed under: Canis lupus familiaris (dog)
Lineage: Eukaryota; Metazoa; Chordata; Mammalia; Carnivora; Canidae
Description: lncRNA (ENSCAFG00040000739.1)
Source: RNAcentral